This 933-nucleotide ribosomal RNA is filed under the name uncultured Ascomycota. Its description in RNAcentral is "eukaryotic LSU rRNA". It matches the Rfam family "Eukaryotic large subunit ribosomal RNA", at positions 1 to 948 of the family's 3401-position model. The record is from RNAcentral. Lineage: Eukaryota; Fungi; Ascomycota.
CUUUUGACCUCGGAUCAGGCAGGGAUACCCGCUGAACUUAAGCAUAUCAAUAAGCGGAGGAAAAGAAACCAACAGGGAUUGCCCUAGUAACGGCGAGUGAAGCGGCAACAGCUCAAAUUUGAAAUCUGGCUCUUUUAGAGUCCGAGUUGUAAUUUGCAGAGGGCGCUUUGGCUUUGGCAGCGGUCCAAGUUCCUUGGAACAGGACGUCACAGAGGGUGAGAAUCCCGUACGUGGUCGCUGGCUAUUGCCGUGUAAAGCCCCUUCGACGAGUCGAGUUGUUUGGGAAUGCAGCUCUAAAUGGGAGGUACAUUUCUUCUAAAGCUAAAUAUUGGCCAGAGACCGAUAGCGCACAAGUAGAGUGAUCGAAAGAUGAAAAGCACUUUGGAAAGAGAGUCAAACAGCACGUGAAAUUGUUGAAAGGGAAGCGCUUGCAGCCAGACUUGCUUACAGUUGCUCAUCCGGGUUUCUACCCGGUGCACUCUUCUGUAGGCAGGCCAGCAUCAGUUUGGGCGGUAGGAUAAAGGUCUCUGUCACGUACCUCCUUUCGGGGAGGCCUUAUAGGGGAGACGACAUACUACCAGCCUGGACUGAGGUCCGCGCAUCUGCUAGGAUGCUGGCGUAAUGGCUGUAAGCGGCCCGUCUUGAAACACGGACCAAGGAGUCUAUCAUCUAUGCGAGUGUUUGGGUGUCAAGCCCGAGCGCGUAAUGAAAGUGAACGGAGGUGGGAACCCGCAAGGGUGCACCAUCGACCGAUCCUGAUGUCUUCGGAAGGAUUUGAGUAAGAGCAUGGCUGUUGGGACCCGAAAGAUGGUGAACUAUGCUUGAAUAGGGUGAAGCCAGAGGAAACUCUGGUGGAGGCUCGCAGCGGUUCUGACGUGCAAAUCGAUCGUCAAAUUUGGGCAUAGGGGCGAAAGACUAAUCGAACCAUCUAGU